AUGUCACUGUUGCGGUCAAUUGUUUUUGUGUACAGAUCUCGGAGCCUAGGCUGCCUAUAGACACGUUUUUUUUGACAGCCUGCUUAUGGCGCGGGCAGCUAGCGGAUCGUUAAGACAGAUUAGAUGAAAGUGAUAAUUUAUGUUUGGGCCUUUUUUGGGCCUGCA
Alosa sapidissima (American shad) is the source of this 165-nucleotide long non-coding RNA. RefSeq lists it as uncharacterized. The record is from RefSeq and is a predicted model, not a curated record. NCBI's taxonomy places the organism in Eukaryota, Metazoa, Chordata, Actinopteri, Clupeiformes, Clupeidae. The transcript has 3 exons.